GAAACUUACCAGGCCAGGACAAUUAAAGGAUUGACAGAUUGAUAGCUCUCUCUCGAUAAAUUGGGUGGUGGUGCAUGGCCGUUCUUAGUUGGUGGAGUGAUUUGUCUGGUUAAUUCCGAUAACGAACGAGACUCCGACCAAUUAUUGAUGUAGCCGCAUAAAGAUCAACGAUAGCUUAGGCGUGUCAACGAUCGCGGUUGCAAAAAGAUAUGGGAUUAGCUAUAGUAAAUAGCACGAGAUAGGGCAAUAA
RNAcentral lists this ribosomal RNA (250 nucleotides) under uncultured marine eukaryote. Its description in RNAcentral is "partial 18S ribosomal RNA". It matches the Rfam family "Eukaryotic small subunit ribosomal RNA", at positions 1210 to 1456 of the family's 1831-position model. The record is from RNAcentral.